GACGAACGCUGGCGGCGUGCUUCAAACAUGCAAGUCGAACGGAACUAAAAGAGCUUGCUCUUUUAGUUUAGUGGCGGACUGGUGAGUAACGCGUGAGUAAUCUGCCUAUUACAGGGGGAUAACAGUUGGAAACGACUGCUAAUACCGCAUAAGACCACGAGGAGGCAUCUCUUUGGGGUCAAAGGGAUUCUGGUAAUAGAUGAGCUUGCGUAUCAUUAGCUAGAUGGUGAGGGUAAAGGCCCACCAUGGCGACGAUGAUUAGCCGAUCUGAGAGGAUGACCGGCCACACUGGAACUGAGAUACGGUCCAG
This 310-nucleotide ribosomal RNA is filed under the name uncultured bacterium. RNAcentral describes it as "bacterial SSU rRNA". It matches the Rfam family "Bacterial small subunit ribosomal RNA", at positions 28 to 334 of the family's 1533-position model. The record is from RNAcentral.